ACAGCAGCGACAAAAGUCCUUGACAUCCCUCCUAUGCUGACCCCAGUAGAACCCUUGCCGGAGUCGACGGAGGGUUUUUGAGACUCCAAAGUGUUCUGCCCCCGCAGCUCCAUGAGAGGCUUUGAGCACCAACUCUCUCAGUGCCCUAGGAACCAUCACCUGCCACCUUACUUCCCCUGUGGCUGGCUCCUUCCAGGCUGUUUGAAGCACUCCAUCUUUCACUUGGAGAGCCCCAAACUUUUCAAACAGUCCUUCAGUGGCAGCUGAAUACCCAGCGACCUCAUUCCACUCUGGUUUUCUGCCUGCCAG
Molecule: long non-coding RNA, 309 nt
Organism: Thalassophryne amazonica
Lineage: Eukaryota; Metazoa; Chordata; Actinopteri; Batrachoidiformes; Batrachoididae
Exons: 3
Source: RefSeq, a predicted model, not a curated record